Molecule: ribosomal RNA, 186 nt
Filed under: uncultured eukaryote
Lineage: Eukaryota
Description: partial 18S ribosomal RNA
Rfam family: Eukaryotic small subunit ribosomal RNA
Source: RNAcentral
UGGUGGAGUGAUUUGUCUGGUUAGUUCCGAUAACGAACGAGACUCUGUCCUGCUAACUAGGUUGUGUUUUCUCGGGUUGGUGUUUCUGGUGUUCCUUCUCGGGGCGCCGGCCCAAUCCACUUGUGAACACAACACUCUUCUUAGAGGGACUGGCGGCUGUUAGCCGCACGAGAUAGAGCAAUAACA